Molecule: ribosomal RNA, 1642 nt
Filed under: metagenome
Description: SSU rRNA
Rfam family: Eukaryotic small subunit ribosomal RNA
Source: RNAcentral
GCGAUUGUAGUGUAGUGGACUACAACGGUCGUAACGGGUAACGGAGAAUUAGGGUUCGAUUCCGGAGAGGGAGCCUGAGAGACGGCUACCAUUUCUAAGGGAAGCAGCAGGCGCGCAAAUUACUCAAUCUCAAUUCGAGGAAGUAGUGAACAAAAAUAACAAUGCGAGGCGUCAAUGACGUCUUGCAAUUGGAAUGAGUACAAUCUAAAUAACUUAACGAGUAUCGAUUGGAGGGCAAGUCUGGUGCCAGCAGCCGCGGUAACUCCAGCUCCAAUAGCGUAUAUUAAUGUUGCUGCAGUCAAAAAGCUCGUAGUUGAAUCUUGGAGGCGUUUGUAAUCUGGUCCGCCUCGAAGGCGAGUACCGAUUACGACCCUCUGUAUCUGGUAACAGCGCACUACUGUGCUUAAUUGUGCGGUAGUUUCAGGAAGAGGAGACUCGACUUGAAGGUUGGGAGUAGUGUCGGGGAAAUGGGGUUUAACGCUUCGUUUUCACGCGGUGCUUCUGGCAGUGUUUUACCUAUUUUACUUUGAAAAAAUUAGAGUGUUCAAAGCAAGGCGUUUUUGCCUAUUGAAUAUUGCAGCAUGGGAUAAUAGAAAAAGAUAGUCUGUCUUAUCUUGUUGGUUUUUUAAGAUGACAAUAAUGAUAGAAGGGGAUGGUUGGGGCGGUCUGUAUUGCAACGUCAGAGGUGAAAUUCUUAGAUUGUUGUAAGACAAACUACUGCGAAAGCUUUCCGCUAGGACAUAUUCAUCAAUCAAGAACGAAAGUUGGGGGAUCGAAGACGAUCAGAUACCGUCGUAGUCUCAACCAUAAACAAUGCCGACCAAGGAUUGGAGAGUGUUAAUUUAUAAUGACUUCCCCAGCACUUUGCGAGAAAUCACAAGUCUUUGGGUUCCGGGGGGAGUAUGGUCGCAAGGCUGAAACUUAAAGGAAUUGACGGAAGGGCACCACCAGGCGUGGAACUUGCGGCUUAAUUUGACACAACACGGGGAAACUUACCAGGUCCAGACAGCGUUAGGAUUGACAGAUUGAGAGCUCUUUCAUGAUUCGUUGGGUGGUGGUGCAUGGCCGUUCUUAGUUGGUGGUGUGAAUUGUCUGGUUGAUUCCGUUAACGAACGAGACCUUGACUUACUAAAUAGCGGGUGGAAGAUUGUGCGCUAAAGCUGUUGAGUCGGUAUUUUCGGAAGGAUCCGUUCCCCGUGAACAGUUGUACUUGCAGUUGCUUUUCUUCCAUGCAGCUUCUUAGAGGGACUAUUGGUGACAAGCCAAUGGAAGUUCGAGACAAAAACAGGUCUGUGAUGCCCUUCGAUGUUCUGGGCCGCACGCGUGUUACACUGAUAAAGUCAACGAGUUUAGAACCUUCUCUGAGAGGAGUGGGUAAUCUUUUGAAACUUUAUCGUGAUGGGGAUAGAUGAUUGCAAUUAUUCAUCUUCAACGAGGAAUGCCUAGUAAGCGCGAUUCAUCAUAUCGCGUUGGCUGCGUCCCUGCCCUUUGUACACACCGCCCGUCGCUCCUACCGAUUGAAUGCUCCGGUGAAAUCUCCGGAUUGCGAGAAGCUAACCUUUGCUGGCUUUGUCGGCAAAAACUCUUGUGAAAAGUUGAUUAAAUCUUAGCAUUUAGAGGAAGGAGAAGUCGUAACAAGGUU